Felis catus (domestic cat) is the source of this 320-nucleotide long non-coding RNA. RefSeq lists it as uncharacterized. The transcript is spliced from 2 exons. Lineage: Eukaryota; Metazoa; Chordata; Mammalia; Carnivora; Felidae. The record is from RefSeq and is a predicted model, not a curated record.
CCAACGGGGAGAUCAUGACCUGAGCUGAAGUCCAGCGCAUAACUGACUGACCCACCCAGGUACCAUCUUGAACAUCUUCUUCAAAGUGCUUUGAACUCGUUUUCCCCACUAAGAACUGUGCGAGAAAAUACAUGGCUUGGUCCACUUUUAUCAACUUUUUGGUUCUGAAGAUGUUCCCAGACCAAAGCACAAACUGAUUUAGCAGUGAUUUAUAACUACUGUCUAUGGAGUUUUCACUAUGUAUCAGCAUUGUGAGAAACAUUUUACAUUUAAUUGUUUUUUCAUUGCAUCAUCAUGAAAAUCAUUUGAAGUAAACAUUA